UGCCACCUUAUCGUGGUGGAGGGGUUUGUGUGUCCCAGUGAUCCUAAAAGCCGUCUGAGGCUUCAUGCCUCUGCUUGGGUCGGGUCCGCCAGGGCAGACGGCUCCUAGGUGAGGGAUCGGACCAAGAGCAGCCCAAAGACCACUUAGAAAUGUUGACAGAACCAGGGUUUCUCUCCGAGUCAUCGGCCUGGUGAGCCACCAGGCUAAGCUUGCUUUAUUUUAAAUAGGGAUUUUUUUUUUAACCCAAAAACCCAGUGAGACGCUGAUGAAUGACAUUAGUGACCCUUCCACCAGGCUCAGCAGCUUCUCUGAGGGAAACCCAGGAAGUGUUCCCAUGUGAGCAGUUAUUCAAUUUUCAGUGUUUUACUUCCUGUUGGGACCUGAAGAGGCGUUUCUUCCCUAUUGUCCUCCACUCAGCAGUUUCUUCACCCUGAGGGGAGAAUUUCAUCUUGUGUUCUGCAGCAGCUUGAUGCAGUCAGACUCCAGUACCAUCAGUAAUGAGCUAAAAGGGUCACCAGUGCAUCGCUAUGACUUGCUCAUCCACUUCUGGGGGAAGAUUUGAGAUCCCACAGCCUAAAAAUGGCUUCACCUGUUCAGUUUGAGUCGACCCGUCACACCAAGCCGAUGGAGGCUGGAAGAGAGGAGACGCAGCGAGCUUCUCCUACUGGGAAGAUCAGAGAUGAAAACGUGGAAUCAACUCAGCCAUCCUGAUGAGAAGCUGCUUUCAGACCCAGCUGAACUGCUAAACUACAUCGGAAUGGACCCUGGCUUUCUUAAUCCGUCCUGGUACCCUGCCUUCAACCUGGCUACCUUCGUCCGACCAUCGUCCUAGCUCCCUUCAGGUCCUGGGAGAUAUGACCAUUUUGAUUCCUUUAUAGGGAUGUUCUCACAAUCUGUCUGAAAUAAAAAUGAUUAAAAUCAGAAAA
This is a long non-coding RNA of Xiphophorus couchianus (Monterrey platyfish), 926 nucleotides long. RefSeq lists it as uncharacterized. NCBI's taxonomy places the organism in Eukaryota, Metazoa, Chordata, Actinopteri, Cyprinodontiformes, Poeciliidae. The record is from RefSeq and is a predicted model, not a curated record. The transcript has 3 exons.